This 407-nucleotide ribosomal RNA is filed under the name uncultured bacterium. RNAcentral describes it as "partial 16S ribosomal RNA". It matches the Rfam family "Bacterial small subunit ribosomal RNA", at positions 30 to 526 of the family's 1533-position model. The record is from RNAcentral.
AUUGAACGCUGGCGGCAGGCCUAACACAUGCAAGUCGAGCGGAGCGGCGGACGGGUGAGUAUUACUUAGGAAUCUGCAUGCUAGUGGGGGAUAACGUUCGGAAAAGGACGCUAAUACCGCAUACUAUCAGAUGAGCCUAGGUCGGAUUAGCUAGUUGGUGAGGUAAUGGCUAACCAGGGCUACGAUCAGUAACUGGUCUGAGAGGAUGAGCAGUAACACUGGAAAUGAGACACGGUCCAGACUCCUACGGGAGGCAGCAGUGGGGAAUAUUGGACAAUGGUCGAAAGCCUGAUCCAGCCAUGCCGCGUGUGUGAAGAAGGUCUUCGGAUUGUAAAGCACUUUAAGUUGGGAGGCGUUACCGACAGAAUAAGCACCGGCUAACUCUGUGCCAGCAGCCGCGGUAAUUC